Molecule: unclassified non-coding RNA, 347 nt
Filed under: soil metagenome
Description: partial contains 5.8S ribosomal RNA, internal transcribed spacer 2, and large subunit ribosomal RNA
Rfam family: 5.8S ribosomal RNA (bases 1-119)
Source: RNAcentral
GAUGAAGAACGUAACGAAAUGCGAUAAGUAAUGCGAAUUGCAGAAUCCGUGAGUCAUCGAAUCUUUGAACGCACAUUGCGCCCGCUGGUAUUCCGGCGGGCAUGCCUGUUCGAGCGUCAUUUCAACCCUCAAGCCCCCGGGUUUGGUGUUGGGGAUCGGCUCUGCCCUUCUGGGCGGUGCCGCCCCCGAAAUACAUUGGCGGUCUCGCUGCAGCCUCCAUUGCGUAGUAGCUAACACCUCGCAACUGGAACGCGGCGCGGCCAUGCCGUAAAACCCCAACUUCUGAAUGUUGACCUCGGAUCAGGUAGGAAUGCCCGCUGAACUUAAGCAUAUCAAUAAGCGGAGGA